CGAUGAACGGGAGCUUGCUCCUGGGAUUAGUGGCGAACGGGUGAGUAACACGUGAGUAACCUGCCCUUGACUCUGGGAUAAGCGUUGGAAACGACGUCUAAUACCGGAUAUGACCUGUGACGGCAUCGUCUGCAGGUGGAAAGAUUUUUUGGUCAAGGAUGGACUCGCGGCCUAUCAGGUAGUUGGUGAGGUAAAGGCUCACCAAGCCGACGACGGGUAGCCGGCCUGAGAGGGUGACCGGCCACACUGGGACUGAGACACGGCCCAGACUCCUACGGGAGGCAGCAGUGGGGAAUAUUGCACAAUGGGCGAAAGCCUGAUGCAGCAACGCCGCGUGAGGGAUGACGGCCUUCGGGUUGUAAACCUCUUUUAGUUGGGAAGAAGGGAGCUUGCUCUUGACGGUACCAGCAGAAAAAGCACCGGCUAACUACGUGCCAGCAGCCGCGGUAAUACGUAGGGUGCAAGCGUUGUCCGGAAUUAUUGGGCGUAAAGAGCUCGUAGGCGGUUUGUCGCGUCUGCUGUGAAAUCUGGGGGCUCAACCCCCAGUCUGCAGUGGGUACGGGCAGACUAGAGUGCGGUAGGGGAGAUUGGAAUUCCUGGUGUAGCGGUGGAAUGCGCAGAUAUCAGGAGGAACACCGAUGGCGAAGGCAGAUCUCUGGGCCGUUACUGACGCUGAGGAGCGAAAGCAUGGGGAGCGAACAGGAUUAGAUACCCUGGUAGUCCAUGCCGUAAACGUUGGGAACUAGAUGUAGGGGCCAUUCCACGGUUUCUGUGUCGCAGCUAACGCAUUAAGUUCCCCGCCUGGGGAGUACGGCCGCAAGGCUAAAACUCAAAGGAAUUGACGGGGGCCCGCACAAGCGGCGGAGCAUGCGGAUUAAUUCGAUGCAACGCGAAGAACCUUACCAAGGCUUGACAUAUACCGGAAACGUCCAGAGAUGGUCGCCCCGCAAGGUCGGUAUACAGGUGG
RNAcentral lists this ribosomal RNA (967 nucleotides) under Frondihabitans sp. Its description in RNAcentral is "bacterial SSU rRNA". It matches the Rfam family "Bacterial small subunit ribosomal RNA", at positions 67 to 1041 of the family's 1533-position model. The record is from RNAcentral. Lineage: Bacteria; Bacillati; Actinomycetota; Actinomycetes; Micrococcales; Microbacteriaceae.